CAAAAUCCUUCAGAACUAUAUUUAUGAUUCAUCUGGGUUAAAAUAGGACAUCCAAAUUCUGUGUCUCAUUUGAAAUAAAUCUCAAAAAUAACGAAACUAACUUUCUGUUAAAGUACUGACUUUUAAUCAAUGCUAUUUUAAAGUUGAUACCUACUUCAAAUACCAUUGUUUCUACUCAUCUUUGACUCAUGUUGGAAGCUUUCCUUUUCUCUUGCAAGUAAUACUUGUUGGCCAUAGACCACACACAUCUUGCUAAAGAAAUGAAAUUGUGGAACUCUGAAAAUUUUCGUGGCACAUAGCCAGGCUUCUAUUAAAAAUACUUUGAAAUAUCUAGCUUUCAACAAACUCUGCCUCUAGUAAUCCUACCUAUAUGUGCCUUUAUGCCCAAGAUGUUCCCUGAAUACCUUUUGCUGAAGAAAUCCCAUAUAAAAAGAUUGCAUUCCUUAUUUGGGGUUCCAGCUCCUAAAUUGCACAUUCUGAUCAUGGAGCCCUAGCUUCAUGACCCAAAGUCACUAUUUUAAUGGCUAAAAAUAAGUUAAUAAUAAAAACAGAAACACACCAAGUUUUAUAUAUCUAAAAGUUAUAUAUCUAACUUACAGCCAAUGGACUUAUGUUUCUUAGAAAAGAAAUACGUCUGUGGAAGUCCCCUCUCUUCACUGACUAUAAGCAGAUCUAGAGUGACUCAGUGAAACCUACACAUCUAACUUUCAGAUAUCUGAAGUGAGUGUGUGGAAUCAUUCUCACCAAAGUUAUGGUUUCUAUGAGCAAGCAGACAGUUACAUGUGCUCAGAAUUUCCUCUCAAACUUAAUAAAUAUUUUAAGGGAAUAUUUAUGAUUUAAUUUCCUUUUUUUUAAAAAAUAUUGGCUUUUACAUUUCAGCUGAGCCACACAGAUGCAGAAUACAAGAAUCUUUACAAAUAUAAAAAAACAAACUACAGAAAAAUUAAUUUAACAGAUUUCAUUUCUACCUGCAAAUAAUGCAAACAGAAGGACCUUAAUAACAGAUAAUAAGGAACACUAACCAGAAAGGAAAUGACAAUCUCCUUUUCUGGUCCCCAGAGCAAAUGGAAACCAUGAGAUGAGUACAGCAGUGUAAAUAUUGGAUUUGUCUUCCCAUAAGGAAUAAAAAUGAAAGCAGAAAUUGCUGAAUACAAGUAACAGUCAUUCGUAUUAAUGUCCACCCAUUAUCAUGAAGAUAAACAGUGAAACAAGAGCAGUAUUCCUACUUUCUGCCAUUUAGAAACCAAAUGAGAUCAAGGAUUGAUACCAAAGAGAAAUAAGUGGUUUAAAAACAAUUUAAGAUAGCCUAAAGUAACAAAAUAAUACUCUUAAGCUUUUAGUUGUAUUUAGAAAUUUUCAGAACAAAAAAAAUAGGAAAAAUAAGUUAUUUUACCUCCAAAUAGUUAUCUUUUUAUGUAAUAUAUAAUGUAAACUAUUAACAGCUCACUUUCAAAAAGUAAGAAAACGUAAGAACCACCAUUUAAAGGAUAGCUGUCUAAAAAGACUUUUCAAUCAUACAUAACAAACUAAAGUAGAAAAAAAAAUGGUAUAACUCUGUUGUGGCAUUUGUAGCUUUGAUUAUAAAGGUUUUGGUGUGUGUUCCAUUUCUGAAAUUCCAAGGAGACAACUUGCUGUCUAUUAUAUGUCCUAGAAUAAAUAUGUCCUAUGACUUGAAGCUUUUGUGGGUAACAGAUCUACAUUUUGUUACAAUAUGAAUGCCUCUCUCACAUGUACUUAAUUUGUCCUUUCUUCUCAGCUGAAUCAUGGGACUCAGGUUGGAGAAGAGUAGUAUGUUAUUUUCUGGUAUUUGUCAUCCUUUUAUAUAUCUUAAAACCUAGAUAAUUUCUCAUAGAAAAACUUGAGCAAGUUACUAAAUGUCAUGACCCUGUCCACAGUUAGCAUAUAGGUUAUAUAUUCCAAAGCUAUACAUAUUUAAUACAAAAAGUACUAUAAGAGGUGGAAUUAUUGUUUGACUUUUGAUGAGAUUUACUCAUCAGAUUUACUCAUCUAGAUCAUCUAGAUUUACUCAUCUAGAUUUACUUUUUUACUACAUAACUGAAAAUUUUGAAGUUUCAUUCUAAAAUAACCUUGCAUUUGGGAUGAGGCAUCUUUUGUCACUUCCAGACUUCAGUGUAUUCAUAGUACUACUAUCCAUCAUCUCCAAAGUAUAAGAAAAAAUAAACAACUUGUAUAAACAUUAAAUCAAAGAAUACUUACUGCUUUGUGUUUUGAUAAUCUGACUGUGUUGUGUCAUCUCUUGAUCUGACAAAAUUGUUCUUCGCAAUGACACUAAGACUAACAAAACUUCUUUUUUUUUUUUUAAUCCAUGACUUGUCAGAUUUGUCCCAGAUUGGCCUUAACAAAGUAUUGGAAUUAGAAAAGUUUCUAUACUAGAUUUUAUAUGAUGCCAAUGGUGAACAACAGAAAGACUUUCAAAGGGCAACUCAGCUCACCUGAAAUCUCUGUUGAAUCCUAGAGAUGCUAAUUCUUCUCCGUUGGCUAUGUAGGAGAUCAUGCAGAUUCAUUCCCUCAGGUGGAAACGGAAAACCUUUCUUCCAACAUGUGUGGUUACCAUGUGGAGGAUAAUACAACCAGCUGGGUCUCAUAAAGUUCUGAGGAAGAAAAUUUAUGCCACUAAACUGUCACGUUCUGUAUCAAGGUCUGGAUUAUAUAACAAACAGUGAGAAAACGGGUGAUGUACCUCACAAUUAUGACUGUAAUGCCUCCUUCACAAGAAUUCACAAGAUUACAAGUCUGUAUUCUGAAGACAAAAGAUCUUAUGUUCAGAGACAUUUCUCACUAAAACCAGAAGGAUAUUUUAUGCCAGAGUAAGGCACAGUGCUUCCCCUGAUAAAGAGGAGACCAUGUAAAGGUGAUCAUCUGGUUACUCUAUAGACAACGUAAUAAUCUUGCAUAAUUUCAUGGAUUUGCUGUUUGGUGUAUUUUAUUUCUGGUGCUUCCUAGGUAGUGUACCAUCUGAAAUGAGUUUUGAGUAGUGCAUUUGAAACAAGUGAGGCAGACUACAUGGCCAACAUCUUCGUAGAGAAUAUUCCAAACUUUGGAUUAGAAUAGCGAAACCUUUGAAAAGGGAAGAACCUCUGGAAUAGAUAAAGAAAACAAAGGAUUAUAAAGAAACAGAAAAACAUUGAGAAGAGAGGUGAAAGGAAAACAGCUGACAUAGCUACAGCCAGAAACAUCAGUCACUGCUGGGUAUAAACUGAAUCUGGUUAUUAAUCAGCUCCAGAAGACCUUCACUUUUAUGUGUGUGUAAGCUGUGAAACUAUGUUUACACUUCAAGAUCCAUGCGUGUGCCAGAGCUCCUUUCCUCUCUUUUCCCCUUCCUUCCUUCCUAGGUAUUCAUUUCAGCCAAUAGGGUAUCUGGGUGUACAAGGCAUGGAAAAUUACAGCACACUCUGGCCAGAUUCUUGGCCUGUAUAAACACAAACCAGCAAACCAAUAAUGCCUGCAACUCUCUCCCAUAGCUGACUUUAAAUGUGGCCUUAGUCUGCUGGGAGAAAAAUGUUACCUGUUUAUACCAUUAGUGUAAUCAGGGGCAUGAAGGAUGAAAUUUAAGUUAAACUGGGUGUUCAGUUAUGAUAAUUUGUUUACUUAUAAUUUUUGUGUCAAUAUUAGAAUAAAGAGUCUUCUGGAGUCAUUUUGAU
Dromaius novaehollandiae (emu) is the source of this 3662-nucleotide long non-coding RNA. RefSeq lists it as uncharacterized. The record is from RefSeq and is a predicted model, not a curated record. NCBI's taxonomy places the organism in Eukaryota, Metazoa, Chordata, Aves, Casuariiformes, Dromaiidae. The transcript is spliced from 3 exons.